CCUACGGGGGGCAGCAGUGAGGAAUAUUAGUAAAUGGACGAGAGUCUGAACCAGCCAAGUAGCGUGAAGGAUGACUGCCCUAUGGGUUGUAAACUUCUUUUAUAUGGGAAUAAAAUGUUCCACGUGUGGGAGUUUGUAUGAACCAUAUGAAUAAGGAUCGGCUAACUCCGUGCCAGCAGCCGCGGUAAUACGGAGGAUCCGAGCGUUAUCCGGAUUUAUUGGGUGUAAAGGGAGCGUAGGUGGAUUGUUAAGUUAGUUGUGAAAGUUUGCGGCUCAACCGUAAAAUUGCAGUUGAAACUGGCAGUCUUGAGUACAGUAGAGGUAGGCGGAAUUCGUGGUGUAGCGGUGAAAUGCUUAGAUAUCACGAAGAACUCCGAUUGCGAAGGCAGCUCACUGGACUGCAACUGACACUGAGGCUCGAAAGUGUGGGUAUCAAACAGGAUUAGAUACCCGAGUAGUC
RNAcentral lists this ribosomal RNA (460 nucleotides) under uncultured bacterium. RNAcentral describes it as "partial 16S ribosomal RNA". It matches the Rfam family "Bacterial small subunit ribosomal RNA", at positions 338 to 795 of the family's 1533-position model. The record is from RNAcentral.